This 376-nucleotide long non-coding RNA is filed under the name Equus caballus (horse). Its description in RNAcentral is "lncRNA (ENSECAG00000041141.2)". Lineage: Eukaryota; Metazoa; Chordata; Mammalia; Perissodactyla; Equidae. The record is from RNAcentral.
CUGUGCUGGAGUCUGUCUUUCCCUUACUCACAAUUCAAUCCAGUCGGCUGGGAAGAGCUGAGCAGAGAAGAGAGUUGCUGAAAGGACCCAAACAGGAGCUUCCUUCUGUAAGUGAGAAGUAUCUCCUUCAGGAAAGAAUCUUUGCACCACAGAACAGGAUGGAAGGGAGGUGGUAAGAUGCUAAGGAAGACUGAUGCUGAGCAUGGCCAAGGAGUGGAACAGAUCUGCCCCAGGAUCCGAACCCACAAACCUGGGCCACCAAAGAGCACGGCCCCCUGCCCCAGGAUUCUUCAGUCACCAUGCUUGCCCAGAGAGAAAGGUCCCGAAGAGCAGGCAGGUGGGUAGGAGGGUCCGCGGGCAGGACCCCAGGCUUGUG